This 611-nucleotide unclassified non-coding RNA is filed under the name Hevea brasiliensis (rubber tree). The record is from RNAcentral. Lineage: Eukaryota; Viridiplantae; Streptophyta; Magnoliopsida; Malpighiales; Euphorbiaceae.
UCUUAAUGGAACUAAUGAUGGGAAUUCUGCUGCACAAUCAACUAGUUUAGCUGGUGGUCCUAGAGGUCAAGGUGGUGGCAGAAAUUUCAGAGGUGGGAGAAACAAUAGGUCAGUACCUAAUGCCCACGUGCGAUCAGAAAUUAAAGAUGUUGAUCAAGUUCGAAAGGAAAGAGAGAAGAAGGCCCAAAGAGCAUCAUAUUUGAAGACCAAGAAGGGGAAAAAGUCUUACAAAGGUGGCAAAAAGGGAAAUGGAAAGGGUAAGGGUAAGGGAAGACAUGGUUGAUUCCAGCUUAUCAACUCAUUUACUCAUGACGGGGAUCUCCAUUUUGCAAGCUUUACACAUGCAAAUCCAGAAGAGCACUAGGGAACAUUCUUUCACAGGAGUUGACUUAUCUUUUCUUAUAAUUCAGUGGAAAUAAAGUGAAAUUUCCAUUGUAUACUUGUGCAGCUUGGUAUGCAAUAGGCGGCCAUUUUUACAGUAUUUAUCGGUGGGAGCAUCGCCUGUGGACAUACUGUGUAUGAAACUUCCAGCUUCUCUCUGUCGAAUGGUUCCAUGCUUUUUAUAGAGGUGAAAUAGCACAACUCUACAAGUACUUUUGAUAGAAAAGUUG